AUAGAUGAAGAUAUGCACUGGGUUCCGAGUAGCUUACAUUUCUGCAAUCUGCUGGAGAUGCAUUUGCCAAGAAAGCAUCGUCAGUCCU
Molecule: non-coding RNA, 88 nt
Organism: Triticum aestivum (bread wheat)
Lineage: Eukaryota; Viridiplantae; Streptophyta; Magnoliopsida; Poales; Poaceae
Source: Rfam